Molecule: unclassified non-coding RNA, 374 nt
Filed under: uncultured Acidimicrobiia bacterium
Lineage: Bacteria; Bacillati; Actinomycetota; Acidimicrobiia
Description: contains 16S-23S intergenic spacer region
Source: RNAcentral
UCCGGUUUGUCACCGGCAGUCUGAAGUGAGUCCCCAACUUAAUGCUGGCAACACUUCACGGGGGUUGCGCUCGUUGCGGGACUUAACCCAACAUCUCACGACACGAGCUGACGACGGCCAUGCACCACCUAUCGCAGGCCCUUUCGGACACCACAUCUCUGUGGCUUUUCCUGCGUAGUUCAACCCAGGUAAGGUUCUUCGCGUUGCAUCGAAUUAAGCAACAUGCUCCGCCGCUUGUGCGGGCCCCCGUCAAUUCCUUUGAGUUUCAGCCUUGCGGCCGUACUCCCCAGGCGGGGCACUUAUCGCGUUAGCUACGGCACCGAAGGGGUCGUUCCCCCCAGCACCUAGUGCCCAUCGUUUACGGCGUGGACUAC